Molecule: ribosomal RNA, 440 nt
Filed under: uncultured bacterium
Lineage: Bacteria
Description: partial 16S ribosomal RNA
Rfam family: Bacterial small subunit ribosomal RNA
Source: RNAcentral
CCUACGGGAGGCAGCAGUGGGGAAUAUUGCACAAUGGGGUUAACCCUGAUGCAGCAACGCCGCGUGGGUGAAGAAGUACUUCUGUAUGUACAGCCCUGUCAGCAGGGAAGAAAAUGACGGUACCUGACCAAGAAGCCCCGGCUAACUACGUGCCAGCAUCCGCUGUAAUACGUAGGGUGCAGGCGUUAUCCGGAUUUACUGGGUGUAAAGGGAGCGUAGGCGGGAAGGCAAGUCUGGAGUGAAAGCCCGUGGCUCAACCACGGGACUGCUUUGGAAACUGUGUUGCUGGAGUGCAGGAGGGGUAAGCGGAAUUCCUGGUGUAGCGGUGAAAUGCGUAGAUAUACGGAGGAACACCAGUGGCGAAGGCGGCAUGCUGGACAUUAACUGACGCUGAGGCGCGAAAGCGUGGGGAGCAAACAGGAUUAGAUACCCGGGUAGUC